GGAGAGGUGGCAGAGUGGUCUAACGCACCGCACUUGAAAUGCGGCGUCCGGGGAACUGGACCGAGAGUUCGAAUCUCUCCCUCUCCGCAA
RNAcentral lists this transfer RNA (90 nucleotides) under Patescibacteria group bacterium. RNAcentral's name for it is "tRNA-Ser". It matches the Rfam family "tRNA". From Rfam's summary of the family: Transfer RNA (tRNA) molecules are approximately 80 nucleotides in length. Their secondary structure includes four short double-helical elements and three loops (D, anti-codon, and T loops). Further hydrogen bonds mediate the characteristic L-shaped molecular structure. tRNAs have two regions of fundamental functional importance: the anti-codon, which is responsible for specific mRNA codon recognition, and the 3' end, to which the tRNAs corresponding amino acid is attached (by aminoacyl-tRNA synthetases). tRNAs cope with the degeneracy of the genetic code in two manners: having more than one tRNA (with a specific anti-codon) for a particular amino acid; and 'wobble' base-pairing, i.e. permitting non-standard base-pairing at the 3rd anti-codon position. The record is from RNAcentral.